CACGUUGGUGCAAACGCAUACAGACACACACACGCGCGUGCGCAUGCGAUGCAGUGAAACUCUUGUCAGAGUAGCCUAUAAUCUCUGUUAACCCAGAAGUCAGCUGCAUGGUUAACUUCUGUGUUCAUACAAAUUGAGAGUUCUGGCAGAAACGAAGUCCCCCCCCCCCCCAUGUGGGCACAGGCACGAAGCACUCAAGACGAAGCAGUUUAAGUACCGCCUUCACCCAAUCCUGAUAUGUCCAAAUAACCAGUGACAAAACCCCAAAAAUGGAACUAAUGCUGCUGUUAUCUCUUGCAUCCCAGUCAGUCCUAUCAGAUUCUCUCAGUCUACAUGCAGAAUCAUGGGAGAUGAAGUACUAUGGAAUGUAAAUUCAUGGUAAAAAAGUAGUAUACCCAGCCAGUAUGGUACUUCUAGGAACUUCUCUCAGCUACAUAAACAUUGAUUUAAACAACUGUAUCACAAUUGACGUGGAACAAUUGAGUUUAAAAGUAAAUGUUCUUAGUGACCUCAGAAGACCCCUUGCACACAGAGGUUUAGCCCUUAGCCUCACUAUCCUAUUACAGUAGUGUAGUAUUAGUGUAGUGUUAGUGUAGUAUUAGUGUAGUGUUAGUGUAGCGUUAGUGUAGUCUUAGUGUAGUCUUAGUGUAGUGUUAGUGUAGUGUUUGUGUAGUAUUAGUGUAGUGUUAGUGUAGUCUUAGUGUAGUGUUAGUGUAGUGUUCGUGUAGUAUUAGUGUAGUGUUAGUGUAGUAUUAGUGUAGUGUUUGUGUAGUGUUAGUGUAGUGUUAGUGUAGUCUUAGUGUAGUGUUCGUGUAGUAUUCGUGUAGUAUUAGUGUAGUGUUAGUGUAGUAUUAGUGUAGUAUUAGUGUAGUGUUAGUGUAGUAUCAGUGUAGUGUUGGUGUAGUGUUAGUGUAGUAUUAGUAUAAUGUUAGUGUGGUGUUAGUGUAGUAUUAGUGUAGUAUCAGUGUAGUGUUAGUGUAGUGUUAGUGUUAGUGUAGUGUUAGCGUAGUAUUAGUGUAGUGUUAGUGUAGUAUUAGUGUAGUGUUAGUGUAGUAUUGGUGUAGUGUUAGUGUAGUAUUAGUGUAAUGUUAGUGUGGUGUUAGUGUAGUAUUAGUGUGGUGUUAGUGUAGUAUUAGUGUAGUGUUAGUGUAGUAUUAGUGUAGUGUUAGUGUAGUAUUUGUGUAGUGUUAGUGUAGUAUUAGUGUAAUGUUAGUGUGGUGUUAGUGUAGUAUUAGUGUAGUGUUAGUGUAGUAUUAGUGUAGUAUCAGUGUAGUGUUGGUGUAGUAUUAGUGUAGUAUUAGUGUAGUGUUAGUGUAGUGUUGUGUUAGUGUAGUAUUAGUGUAGUAUUAGUGCAGUGUUAGUGUGGUGUUAGUGUAGUGUUAGUGUAGUGUUAGUGUAGUGUUAUUGUAGUAUUAGUGUAGUAUUCGUGUAGGAUUAGUGUAGUGUAGUUGUAGUGUAGUGUUAGUGUAGUGUUAGUGUAGUGUUAGUGUAGUAUUAGUGUAGUAUUAUUGUAGUAUUAGUGUAGUGUUAGUGUUGUAUUAGUGUAGUGUUAGUGUAGUAUUGGUGUAGUGUUAGUGUAGUAUUAGUGUAGUGUUAGUGUUAGUGUAGUAUUAGUGUAGUGUUAGUGUAGUAUUAGUGUAGUGUUAGUGUAGUGUUCGUGUAGUAUUAGUGUAGUGUUAGUGUAGUGUUAGUGUAGUAUUAGUGUAGUAUUAGUGUAGUGUUAGUGUAGUGUUAGUUUAGUGUUAGUGUAGUAUUAGUGUAGUGUUAGUGUAGUAUUAGUGUAGUAUUAGUGUAGUGUUAGUGUAGUGUUCGUGUAGUAUUAGUGUAGUGUUAGUGUAGUAUUAGUGUAGUAUUAGUGCAGUGUUAGUGUAGUAUUGGUGUAGUAUUAGUGUAGUGUUAGUGUAGUGUUAGUGUAGUAUUAGUGUAGUAUUAGUGUGGUGUUAGUGUAGUGUUAGUGUAGUGUUAGUGUAGUAUUGGUGUAGUGUUAGUGUAGUAUUAGUGUAGUGUUAGUGUAGUGUUAGUUUAGUGUUAGUGUAGUAUUAGUGUAGUGUUAGUGUAGUAUUAGUGUAGUAUUAGUGUAGUGUUAGUGUAGUGUUCGUUUAGUAUUAGUGUAGUGUUAGUGUAGUAUUAGUGUAGUAUUACAUAAUUAACCAGAGUGCAGGGGUGAGAUAAGGACCACCAUGCAGUCAAGGUUUAUACUACAGGGGUGCCUGGCAGUCCCAUAACAAAUCAGGGCACGUUCAUAAACAUGAAAUAUUAACGCAACACCCCCAGAAGUGUUAAAGGUACAACCUGUAAUUUGACCAGCCUGACCCUGCCACUUGGUUUGGUAAACAGGGAUGAGGCUGGGAGAAAUGGAACCACUCUCAUAUUCAGAUGGACUAUGAAUUCCAAGACUAAGAGUCCAUAAGAAUGACUUAUAGUGUUAACCAUAUGUUCAAGAUAUACAUGGUUUGUUUACAAUGGUUUAUUGUAAAGACCAAGGGCCAGUUUAAUGGAAACUGACCUGUUAGUCCUGGACUAGGCCUGGAAACUAGCCCCGAGAGGCAAUCAAGUCAGCUAUCACAAUGUUUUCACAUUAGUAUAACUAUAUGAACAGCUGGACUAACCACACUGAAUUCCCUAUAUGUAGCUAUACUAAUGUGAUCUUAAUUGGUAAAUGAAAGACCCUAUUAGGUAGGACUGGCGGAAAGGGUUCAGCUGUGUGUCUGUGCAGUCUCUCUUGGUAGACGUUUCCUAUAGCAGAUCUAGGAUCAGCUUACCCUACCAACACAUUUCACCUUAAUCAUUAGGGUUAAAAACUCAACACUGUCCUCAGAUCAGUGUUUAUGGGCAACUUCAUUCAAGUCCUCUGAGUCACAGUGAGUGUGAGCAAUAGGUUGACAGGCCAUACCUCGUGGGCCGGGUUUAUAUACACCGGUGUGACUGGACAGUGUCUGG
This 2940-nucleotide long non-coding RNA is filed under the name Salmo salar (Atlantic salmon). RNAcentral's name for it is "lncRNA (ENSSSAG00000104326.1)". The record is from RNAcentral. Lineage: Eukaryota; Metazoa; Chordata; Actinopteri; Salmoniformes; Salmonidae.